UACUAAAGCUUAUCAUUUGGGAUAUGUGGGUUAUUGUUUUUUUUUUCUCUCCCACACUCGAACAUCAUCAUAGGCAAAAGAUUGUUUGUAUCAAAAUCUAUAAUUUUAAUUCCCUGGAUGAUUGCUACAUGUGGGGCUUUAUGGUCAUCAUUUACGAAUCCCAAUAAUCAAACCAUAUAAAAUGAAAAAAAAAAACCAAAGAUAGUCCAGCUUUUGUUUUAGGUGAGGUCUACACAAUUGAAAAACAAUAAUAAAAGUUGCAACGAAAGAAUAAAAAAUUCAACAUAAGAAAUAGAUUAAAGAAACAAUGAUAAAAGUUGCAAUGAAAGAAUAAAAAAUUCAACACAAGAAAUAGAUUAUGGAAGAAAAUUAAAGAAUAGGAGGGGCCAUUACCGUUUGAAGGGAAAGAGAUUUGAGCAAAAACGUCCAGAUCUUGGUGAAGGGAGAUGAUGAUAGUGGCUAGUCGAAAGUAGUGACAGCAGUGAUGGGAGAGGUUUUGGGAGUGUCGGCAGUGUGGUGGAUCUAGGAAUUUUGUAAGUUAUGUUUGCUAUGUUUUAAUUCACAAUAUUAUGAAUGUAGGGAAAGAGAUGUGAGCAAAAAAGUUCAGAUUUUGGUGGAGGGGAGAUGAUGAUAGUGGCUAGUCGAAAGUGGAGAUGACAGCAAAAGAGUCCAGAUCUUGGUGAAGGGAGAUGAUGAUAGUGGCUAGUUGAAAGUAGUGACAACAGUGAUGGGAGAGGUUUUGGGAGUGUCGACAGUGUUGUAGAUCUAGGGAUUUUGUAAUUUAUGUUUGCUAUGUUUUAAU
RNAcentral lists this long non-coding RNA (802 nucleotides) under Citrus x clementina. RNAcentral's name for it is "Citrus clementina (C. clementina) long non-coding RNA (CCLE_LNC005374)". The record is from RNAcentral. Lineage: Eukaryota; Viridiplantae; Streptophyta; Magnoliopsida; Sapindales; Rutaceae.